Echinops telfairi (small Madagascar hedgehog) is the source of this 89-nucleotide small nucleolar RNA. Ensembl annotates it as small nucleolar RNA, C/D box 19B. Lineage: Eukaryota; Metazoa; Chordata; Mammalia; Afrosoricida; Tenrecidae. The record is from Ensembl.
UGGAGGUUGGAAUAUGUGUGAGCGAAAUCUUGAUUUAAAAAGAUACUAAUGAAAAAAUGAUAAAGAUCCAACUCUGAUUUCAUCCAUCG